CCUACGGGUGGCUGCAGUGGGGAAUAUUGGACAAUGGGGGGAACCCUGAUCCAGCCAUGCCGCGUGUGUGAAGAAGGCCCUCGGGUUGUAAAGCACUUUCAGUGAGGAAGAACGCCUGGUGGUUAAUACCCAUCAGGAAAGACAUCACUCACAGAAGAAGCACCGGCUAACUCCGUGCCAGCAGCCGCGGUAAUACGGAGGGUGCGAGCGUUAAUCGGAAUUACUGGGCGUAAAGCGCGCGUAGGUGGCUUGAUAAGCCGGUUGUGAAAGCCCCGGGCUCAACCUGGGAACGGCAUCCGGAACUGUCAAGCUAGAGUGCAGGAGAGGAAGGUAGAAUUCCCGGUGUAGCGGUGAAAUGCGUAGAGAUCGGGAGGAAUACCAGUGGCGAAGGCGGCCUUCUGGACUGACACUGCCACUGAGGUGCGAAAGCGUGGGUAGCAAACAGGAUUAGAUACCCGGGUAGUC
This 465-nucleotide ribosomal RNA is filed under the name Vreelandella stevensii. RNAcentral describes it as "partial 16S ribosomal RNA". It matches the Rfam family "Bacterial small subunit ribosomal RNA", at positions 338 to 795 of the family's 1533-position model. Lineage: Bacteria; Pseudomonadati; Pseudomonadota; Gammaproteobacteria; Oceanospirillales; Halomonadaceae. The record is from RNAcentral.